UGGGAAAUAUUGCGCAAUGGGCGAAAGCCUGACCCAGCAACGCCGCGUGAAGGAUGAAGUAUUUCGGUAUGUAAACUUCGAAAGAAUAGGAAGAAUAAAUGACGGUACUAUUUAUAAGGUCCGGCUAACUACGUGCCAGCAGCCGCGGUAAUACGUAGGGACCAAGCGUUGUUCGGAUUUACUGGGCGUAAAGGGCGCGUAGGCGGCAAUUCAAGUCAUCUGUGAAAUCUCCGGGCUUAACUCGGAACGGUCAGAUGAUACUGCUUUGCUAGAGUGCAGAAGGGGCAAUCGGAAUUCUUGGUGUAGCGGUGAAAUGCGUAGAUAUCAAGAGGAACACCUGAGGUGAAGACGGGUUGCUGGGCUGACACUGACGCUGAGGCGCGAAAGCCAGGGGAGCAAACGGGAUUAGAUACCCAUGUAGUCCCUGAGCGGGCUGGCAAGGCGCAU
RNAcentral lists this ribosomal RNA (447 nucleotides) under uncultured bacterium. Its description in RNAcentral is "bacterial SSU rRNA". It matches the Rfam family "Bacterial small subunit ribosomal RNA", at positions 355 to 825 of the family's 1533-position model. The record is from RNAcentral.